Small nucleolar RNA from Tachyglossus aculeatus (Australian echidna), 138 nucleotides. NCBI's taxonomy places the organism in Eukaryota, Metazoa, Chordata, Mammalia, Monotremata, Tachyglossidae. The record is from RefSeq and is a predicted model, not a curated record.
CCCCUCUCAGGACUGCAACUGGAGAGUUUCCAGUACUCUACCAGUCUCGGCUACAAGAGGGAGAGUCGAGCAGGGGCAUACCCAUUCCAUUCCUAGCUUGGGCAGUGGCUAGCGAGUGGAAGGCAAUCGGCUAUAAGC